RNAcentral lists this non-coding RNA (134 nucleotides) under Tropicibacter naphthalenivorans. Lineage: Bacteria; Pseudomonadati; Pseudomonadota; Alphaproteobacteria; Rhodobacterales; Roseobacteraceae. The record is from RNAcentral.
AUGUUGGCAGCUCGAGGCAUUCUGGCCUAUCGAUCAGACACAGGGAAAUACGGAAGCCGGUGAAAAUCCGGAACGGUCGCGCCACUGUGAUCGCGCAAGCGUAAGUCAGACACGGAUCCCUGGAAAAUACUCAU